AGAGAUCAGGCAAUAGGUUCAAA
MicroRNA from Caenorhabditis elegans, 23 nucleotides. Lineage: Eukaryota; Metazoa; Nematoda; Chromadorea; Rhabditida; Rhabditidae. The record is from Ensembl.